RNAcentral lists this ribosomal RNA (468 nucleotides) under uncultured bacterium. RNAcentral's name for it is "partial 16S ribosomal RNA". It matches the Rfam family "Bacterial small subunit ribosomal RNA", at positions 28 to 507 of the family's 1533-position model. The record is from RNAcentral.
GACGAACGCUGGCGGCGUGCUUAACACAUGCAAGUCGAACGGAAAGGCCCUGCUUUUGUGGGGUGCUCGAGUGGCGAACGGGUGAGUAACACGUGAGUAACCUGCCCUUGACUUUGGGAUAACUUCAGGAAACUGGGGCUAAUACCGGAUAGGAGCUCCUGCUGCAUGGUGGGGGUUGGAAAGUUUCGGCGGUUGGGGAUGGACUCGCGGCUUAUCAGCUUGUUGGUGGGGUUGUGGCUUACCAAGGCUUUGACGGGUAGCCGGCCUGAGAGGGUGACCGGCCACUUAGGGUCUGAGAUACGGCCCAGAAUCCUACGGGAGGAAGCAGUGGGGAAUAUUGCACAAGGGGCGGAGGCCUGGUGCAGAAACGCCGCGUGCGGGAUGACGGCCUUCGGGUGGUAGACCGCUUUCGCCUGUGACGAAGCGUGAGUGACGGUAAUGGGUAAAGAAGAAACGGCUAACUACGUG